ACUAUAGCAGUAUUAAAGGCACGCCUGGCCCAGUGAAUUAAAUUUUUAACGGCCGCGGUAUCCUAACCGUGCAAAGGUAGCGCAAUCACUUAGUUCUUUAAAUAAGGACUAGUAUGAACGGCACCAUGAGGAUCCACUUGUCUCUCAUAAUAAGCCUAUGAAACUGAUCUUCCAGUACAAAAGCUGGAAUAAACACACAAGACGAGAAGACCCUGUGGAGCUUUAAACCAAACUCACCAUACAUGAGCUGCGGUUUUUAGUUGGGGCGACUCUGGAGCAAAACAAAACCUCCAAACUUUACAUCCUUAGGCCAACAUGCCACCAUUACCCCCCCCCACGACCCAAUAUAAUUGAAUAAUGAACCAAGUUACCCCAGGGAUAACAGCGCCAUCUUCUUCUAAAGUCCCUAUCGCCAAAAAGGUUUACGACCUCCAUGUUGGAUCAGGGUACCCAAAUGGUGCAGCCGCUAUUAAAGGUUCGUUUGUUCAACGAUUAACAACCCUACGUGAUUGGCUAAACCACCCGAAUUGUUUUUUGUUUAUUCAAAAUAAAAUCCUUACGUGACUGAAAAAACACCAAACAGAUAAACACCAAAACCUAAAUACCUCCACUCUUUGAGCCGGCGGGAGGCGGCUACCCAAUUCUGUAUAAACAUAUUUUUUUGAUUUUUGCCAA
Molecule: ribosomal RNA, 675 nt
Filed under: Amphisbaenidae sp. 62 KGRC-2012
Lineage: Eukaryota; Metazoa; Chordata; Lepidosauria; Squamata; Amphisbaenidae
Description: partial 16S ribosomal RNA
Rfam family: Bacterial large subunit ribosomal RNA
Source: RNAcentral